This 207-nucleotide ribosomal RNA is filed under the name uncultured bacterium. RNAcentral's name for it is "partial 16S ribosomal RNA". It matches the Rfam family "Bacterial small subunit ribosomal RNA", at positions 524 to 728 of the family's 1533-position model. The record is from RNAcentral.
UACGGAGGAUCCAAGCGUUAUCCGGAUUCAUUGGGUUUAAAGGGUGCGUAGGCGGAAUGAUAAGUCAGCGGUGAAAUCCCUCGGCUUAACCGAGGAACUGCCGUUGAUACUGUCAAUCUUGAGUACAUUUUGAUGUGGGCGGAAUGUGUCAUGUAGCGGUGAAAUGCUUAGAUAUGACACAGAAACACCGAUUGCGAAGGCAGCUCA